Oreochromis aureus is the source of this 2253-nucleotide long non-coding RNA. RefSeq lists it as uncharacterized. The record is from RefSeq and is a predicted model, not a curated record. Lineage: Eukaryota; Metazoa; Chordata; Actinopteri; Cichliformes; Cichlidae. The transcript has 2 exons.
UGAGUAUGUGAGAGACAAGUUCAAUUACACAAAAGUAAAGCCGGUAUUUUUAGUUUGCUGUUAUGAUAGAAGAAAGAGAACGGAGAAAGGAAAUCAGUUCGCGCCUGCUCUCUCCCUCCACUCCUGGUGGAAACAUUUCCGGCUCAGCAGCUCGGGCUCUCUUAUCGCGCUUGUGCUGGCUCUCUGGCCCGGAUCAAAUGGGUGAUGGAGGGAGAAAAAAAAUGGAGCUCUCGGGCUUUGGAUACGGUUUCAGCGUCUCAUUUUUCACUUCGAAUUACUGCCGUCACGCAGACGUUUAUAAAUUAGCAGAAGGAUUCUUACUGAUUUAUUUUCGAACGGGUAAUCAUCUCCGCGCAAGAAAGAGCUCUGGAAGUACCUGGCGCACCGAGCGUGAGAGUGGAUAACUCCGGCCAGUAAGAGAUAUCGGAUUCCAGGUUUAUUAUUAUUAUUAUUAUUAUUAUUAUUAUUAUUAUUAUUAUUAUUAUUAUUGUUAGUAAUAAUAAUAAUAAUAACAAUAAUAAUAAUACUAUACCGUCGUGCUUACAUUGGUUAAUAGUGUGUUUGUACUGUAAUAAAUCUUUCUUGUUAGGGGUCCUUUAAAAGAAUGUAACCGGUUUUUGUAAACAUUAUUUUUCCCACGCUAAAUCUCUCCCUCGUUAACGUCCAGCGGCUGCAGAUUUAUGAGGCCGAGUGGAUUUAUGUUUUGACUGUUUUCGAGGAAACCCUACUCUCAGUGUUUUUCUGCCUUUCCAUUUACGGUUUUUUUUUUCGUUUUUCGUUUUUCGCUUUACCCGCUAGCAGGCAAUUAAACCGGGAUUGUCUGCAAGCGACUAUUGAGCACGAUGUAUUGAAAAAUACAAUUCAAAAUUUAAAAAGAAAUCAGUUUAACUUUAGGCACCAGUCUUCUGCUAGAAGUGGGACGCAUUUUGAGCACUGUUCAGUUCGACAGUGCUGCUUCUUCAUUUGGAUUUAUUCCGCCUUUACAUGAACAGGUUUUUUUUUUUUAAAUACACUUUAUGAUUGUUAUUUUAAAUGCGGUCACAACAAAAACAUUUUUGCUAUGUAACAUAGAUAUGUAUAAUUUCACAAAAUCGCACUGUCUCCAGACUGAUGUAUGUGCCGCAAAAAGGUUACAUGUCAUUUUAUUGCGUUAAUAUGUGGCUACUAUAUCUCUAGUUUGUGUGUAAAUAGAGAGGGCGUUAAAAUUGAACUAAAUAUUUUAAAUACAGCUUUUAAAAGAAUGAUUCACUCUUUUCAGAAUGGUCGUUCCGAGGACUGAAAAUAUUUCCUGCUAGGGAAAAAGAACAUUGAAGCAGUCAAUAUGGCUGCCAGUCUCAGCAGUGAGUGGGAAGAUUCCUUCUGUGAGGUCUUGUGUCUUGUGCCUACUUGCUUUUGCUUCUCUUUAAGAUGCGUAGGAUUGUACCUUGUCUUUGACCAUGUGCAAUAAAAGGAUGCUUCAAUCACAGUGAACGUUAACAGAAACGUAGGACGUAAGAGCAACACAAGAAAACAAGCAAUGGAAAGGAUGAAAAGGAAGAACAUAAGGCUACAUAAAUACCGGACCAAGUGAACACAGUUCGGUCUCAGAGAAGUUAAACGUGGAUAACAGCAGCAGCUUGAAUGGAUGUCAGACAGUGAGUGAUAUCAUUUCUCAGCACUGUUUCAAACAACUAUUUCAGAUGAGUCUGAGCUGGAACUAUCUUGCUGAACCAAACAUACUUAACUGUGGACACAUGGCUGAGAUAAAAUAAGAUAAAAUGUUUCAAGAACUAUUUCAAUGCUGCAGUCGGUGUGUGUGUGUGUGUGUGUGUGUGUGUGUGUGUGUGUGUGUGUGUGUGUGUGUGUGUGUGUGUGUGUAUGCCUGUGCGUGUAUGCGUGAGGGUGUUGGGGGUUGGUGCCACCAUCCACCCCCUUUUCUAUCUACAGAAAUGAGGCGAGAUAUUGUUUUUGACAGGGCGGCGGAGAACAGGAAUACACAUCUUGAAAAGCGCCGCCUUUUGUUGCUGCUGCCGUUAUUAUGUGAUGGGAGGCCGGCGGAGAAGCUCUAAUUUGGUUAAGCUAAGGUUUACACUGCUGCUGAUGGCCAAGCGGGGAGCGAGACUACUGAGGGAGAGAGAGUACCAUGAUGCGAAGGGGCCCGGCCUUAACUGUAAAACGAUUCGAGGGGCACAUCCAUCAGUUCCAAUACCAAUUGUAAUUUGUUUUGUAAUUUGUAAUAAAAGUAUUAAUAAAAUAAUAUUAAUAACAUUCAAA